RNAcentral lists this ribosomal RNA (58 nucleotides) under Preussia sp. 5c_amb_p. Its description in RNAcentral is "partial 28S ribosomal RNA". Lineage: Eukaryota; Fungi; Ascomycota; Dothideomycetes; Pleosporales; Sporormiaceae. The record is from RNAcentral.
UUGACCUCGGAUCAGGUAGGGAUACCCGCUGAACUUCCGCUUAUUGAUAUGCUGAGGA